RNAcentral lists this ribosomal RNA (281 nucleotides) under Aeromonas salmonicida subsp. salmonicida 01-B526. Its description in RNAcentral is "partial 16S ribosomal RNA". It matches the Rfam family "Bacterial small subunit ribosomal RNA", at positions 227 to 525 of the family's 1533-position model. Lineage: Bacteria; Pseudomonadati; Pseudomonadota; Gammaproteobacteria; Aeromonadales; Aeromonadaceae. The record is from RNAcentral.
CGGCCUGCGUCCGAUUAGCUAGUUGGUGGGGUAAAGGCCUACCAAGGCUCCGAUCGGUAGCUGGUCUGAGAGGACGAUCAGCCACACUGGGACUGAGACACGGCCCAGACUCCUACGGGAGGCAGCAGUGGGGAAUAUUGGACAAUGGGCGCAAGCCUGAUCCAGCAAUGCCGCGUGGGUGAAGAAGGUCUUCGGAUCGUAAAGCCCUUUCGACAGGGACGAUGAUGACGGUACCUGUAGAAGAAGCCCCGGCUAACUUCGUGCCAGCCGCCGCGGUAAUU